Molecule: non-coding RNA, 397 nt
Organism: Arachis ipaensis
Lineage: Eukaryota; Viridiplantae; Streptophyta; Magnoliopsida; Fabales; Fabaceae
Source: RefSeq, a predicted model, not a curated record
AAUUUUGCUUUUUAUCAAGGUUCUAAUUUUGUUGUGUGUAAACCAGGAUGUUGUGGUCUCUCAAAAUUGGCUAUCUACUUUGUUUCUCUCUGAAGUGAGAGAAGAAUCUGCUUGCAAUGAGGGGAAGAGUUUUGGUACAGGAUCUCGGAUUCAUGACAAGGGACACAAAGAUGAGGUGUGCAUUUUUGUUGUUUUUAUUAUUCUAAAUGCAAUUGUUGUUCUAUGAUAGUUCUUACAUGUUUAGCAGUAUGGAUUAUGGAAUAAGGAAUAUAUAUUGGCAUGUAGUUUAUUUUUCAUAUAAUAGGAAGUGCUUCAAGAUAAGUUGCAGAAGCUGUUAGCUGGUGUAUGCUUUUUCUUUCUACUAAGCUUGCAAUUAGAGUUAUUUCUAGUUUCUGGA